This is a long non-coding RNA of Oreochromis aureus, 553 nucleotides long. The record is from Ensembl. NCBI's taxonomy places the organism in Eukaryota, Metazoa, Chordata, Actinopteri, Cichliformes, Cichlidae.
CAUCCACUUUUCUUUGAAGUUGAACCUUCAAAGGUUUGGGGGCGGGGUUUAAGCUACUCUCUGACACAGCUGCAUAUUUAAAUGGCAUAAACUAUUAAUUUAAAUGGACUACUUGCACAAUCACUUCCGCGGUCCAUGUAGUCCUGCCCCAGUGCUUCCGGUGUGGUUAAACCAUGGCGGCGUUCUACACUCGCUGUCUACAAGAGCUCCCAAAAUUGAACAUCACUGAUGUUCAUCGGAUUUGCAGAGUGACGACUACCCCCGCCAGCAAAUUAGAUAAAGGAUUUAAGUUAUAUGCUGCAUCAUAUAUACACAACUACGAAGUGUCCAAUAAAGACAGGUUGUCAGGGGAGGUCGGUGUGAGAGCCCUGUGCUACAGGUCAAUGAGGAAGAGUGAGGCACCACACAGACUAAGUAUUAAGCUUCUGGAUUCAUCGCCGGUGAUACUGACACAUAGCCAGUGCUCCUGUGUGGCAGGCGCUGUUAUGUGCAAUCACACAGUGGCACUGCUCUUCCAAACAGCACACUACUCACAACUCAGUGCCAGUUGUCC